AUUGAACGCUGGCGGCAGGCCUAACACAUGCAAGUCGAACGGUAACAGGAAACAGCUUGCUGUUUCGCUGACGAGUGGCGGACGGGUGAGUAAUGUCUGGGAAACUGCCUGAUGGAGGGGGAUAACUACUGGAAACGGUAGCUAAUACCGCAUAACGUCGCAAGACCAAAGAGGGGGACCCUCGGGCCUCUUGCCAUCGGAUGUGCCCGGAUGGCACUAGCUAGUUGGUAGGGUAACGGCUUACCAAGGCAAAGAUCCGUAGCUGGUAUGAGAGGGUGAUCGGCCACACUGGAACUGAGACACGGUACAGACUCCUACGGGAGGCAGCAGUAGGGAAUCUUCGGCAAUGGGCGAAAGCCUGACGGAGCAACGCCGAGUGAGUGAUGAAGGUAUUCGGAUCGUAAAACUGUGUUAUUAGGGAAGAACAAAUGUGUAAGUAACUAUGCCCGUCUUGACGGUACCUAAUCAGAAAGCCACGGCUAACUACGUG
This 490-nucleotide ribosomal RNA is filed under the name uncultured bacterium. RNAcentral describes it as "partial 16S ribosomal RNA". It matches the Rfam family "Bacterial small subunit ribosomal RNA", at positions 30 to 507 of the family's 1533-position model. The record is from RNAcentral.